Molecule: ribosomal RNA, 253 nt
Filed under: uncultured bacterium
Lineage: Bacteria
Description: partial 16S ribosomal RNA
Rfam family: Bacterial small subunit ribosomal RNA
Source: RNAcentral
UACGUAGGGCGCAAGCGUUGUCCGGAAUUAUUGGGCGUAAAGAGCUCGUAGGCGGCUUGUCACGUCGAUUGUGAAAGCCCGAGGCUUAACCUCGGGUCUGCAGUCGAUACGGGCUAGCUAGAGUGUGGUAGGGGAGAUCGGAAUUCCUGGUGUAGCGGUGAAAUGCGCAGAUAUCGGGAAGAACACCCGUGGCGAAGGCGGCUCUCUGGGACGGUACUGACGCUGAGACGCGAAAGCGUGGGGAGCGAACAGG